CCAUUUGAGUUGUUCACCUCCUUCAUUUUCACUUGCGACAUUUGCUUUGGAAAGCUUUACUCUACAAUUUGUCUUGAUGUGCCCGAUUAUCCCACAUCUAUAGUACUUGAUUGGGUUGUUAUUCUGUGAGCUGCCACUAGUAGCAUUUUCCUCAUUUGAGCCUUUUUCAUUAUUCUUAUUCUCUGCUGAAGUUUUCUUCUUAUUAUGCUAUCCCUUUGAGCAGAGAACAGCAACUAG
RNAcentral lists this long non-coding RNA (237 nucleotides) under Elaeis guineensis (African oil palm). RNAcentral describes it as "long non-coding RNA (EGUI_LNC039136)". Lineage: Eukaryota; Viridiplantae; Streptophyta; Magnoliopsida; Arecales; Arecaceae. The record is from RNAcentral.